UACAGAGGUCCCAAGCGUUUGUUCGGAUUCACUGGGCGUAAAGGGUGCGCAGGCGGCCAGGUGUGUUAGGCGUGAAAGCCCGGGGCUUAACCCCGGAAUUGCACCUAAAACUACUUGGCUAGAGCAUUGGAGAGGGUAGCGGAAUUCCUGUGUAGCGGUGUGAAAUGCGCAGAUAAUCAGGAGGAACACCGGUGGCGAAGGCGGGUCUCUGGGCCGAUACUGACGCUGAGGAGCGAAAGCGUGGGGAGCGAACAGG
RNAcentral lists this ribosomal RNA (256 nucleotides) under uncultured bacterium. RNAcentral's name for it is "partial 16S ribosomal RNA". It matches the Rfam family "Bacterial small subunit ribosomal RNA", at positions 524 to 776 of the family's 1533-position model. The record is from RNAcentral.